AUGCAGUGGUUGGGCGACUCGGUGGAUAAGGAAGUGAAGUUGGAUUUGUGUCUUAUCCCGGUGGGGGGAGAGGUGGAGACAUUGACUCCGGCGACGGCGAGUGGGCGGUCCGGCGAUCUCGGAGGGGUUCCGCCGACCAUGGAAUUCUUGCUGCAGCCAAUAAACAGAACUCUGCUUGAGGAGGUCAAUGAAAAUAACGGGACAAUGGAGCCCGUGCGGUUCCCGGUGGCCGCGCCGGCGGAGAUACCUGCUCCAGCCCCGGCCAGUUCAAGUGCGGACGGCCAGAUCUAUCGGCCGGAAGCGGCAGGCGGGGACAAGGCUCAGGGGUCCGAGCACUCGAUAGAGCAGUUGGACCCGAAGACACUAGGAUGGACGCAAAGGGGAAGCCAAUCGUUGAGAAUACUCGUUCGUGCUAGUGUGAAUGCCCAGCCCUCAUCAGACUACUGA
RNAcentral lists this ribosomal RNA (447 nucleotides) under Triticum aestivum (bread wheat). RNAcentral's name for it is "partial small subunit ribosomal RNA". The record is from RNAcentral. Lineage: Eukaryota; Viridiplantae; Streptophyta; Magnoliopsida; Poales; Poaceae.